Haliotis rubra (blacklip abalone) is the source of this 1481-nucleotide long non-coding RNA. RefSeq lists it as uncharacterized. The record is from RefSeq and is a predicted model, not a curated record. The transcript has 3 exons. Lineage: Eukaryota; Metazoa; Mollusca; Gastropoda; Lepetellida; Haliotidae.
UUUUUUGUUACAACCAGUCACCGCAACGUUACCAGGCGAUCAGACGACAACUGCCUCACUGACUACGGAACCAGUCACCUCAACGUUCUCAGGCGAUCAGACGACAACUGCCGCACAGAAUGCGGGUAAACGAUUUGUAAUCCAUAUAAGUUUUCACAAUUGCUGCUGUAGAGGGCAUUAAUUUCAUACAUGCAUACUGUAUGAGUGCGUGCGUGCGUGCGUGUAUGCAUGUGUGUAAAGUAAGGAUGUAAUGGGUGGAUGGAUGCAUAAUUUAAGACAAAAUGCAUGAAAUAUCAUAUACGGCAGUGUGUUUCCCCUCUUCCAUCAGCAUCAAACGUUAUGAAUAUUUGUUUCUCAUCACACAAACACACCGAUGAAUAUAACGUAAUACCAUUGUGUGUGUACUGACUUUUCAACAUUAUAACAAAUAAAUGUCAUAUGUUUCAGAUUUCCCACGGUUGGUAUUGAUUGUAGCAGCUGCUUCAGCCAGUGCAGCGGUAGCCAUCAUAAGCCUUGUUCUCGUGAUUGUAUGUUGUACAAUCACGAAACCGAACAUUUCCCCAAACUACGAGCAUGCGGAUGUAAUACGUAAAAAGGCCAGUAGAUCGAACUGUGACGAUUCUACGAACUAUGAAGAGUCAGACGUCGCCCGUGCACACCGCAGCACAGACAGAAACGUGGCGCACGGUGACACCAACCCUGCCAAAAGCUACCACAAAAUCUCCGCCAGUUGCUGAAAAGGAAAGAAGUGAGUUCAAGAAUAUAUGAAGAGUUGGAUGGACAUCUCGGAAUUGAAAUGCGAGAACCAACUCCGUGUAAAACCGAUGUCCUCAGCUCACACUCAGAUCCCCCAAACAGGACAGCUGUCACUUCCACAAUUUAUGAAGCGUCCGAUGUAGUCCUUGGAGUGGAAACAUCAGAACUGCCUCAGGAUAAACCAGAUUCUACCAGCAACUCAAUAUUUUACAUCUAUCAGUCUGGGAAAAGAAAUGACAUCGCCUCUGUAAUGUAUGAAGCGCCAGAUUCCAGGGUAUCUGGACAUGCUGGACUGGCCGAUGCUGCUUCAAGCUCCUAUUCUGCCCUGUGUGGGCUGGGAAGCAAGGAGGUCGAGCACGACUACUCGAAGCUGCAUCAGUACGAUUCCGUGACAAAUGAGGAACGUCUUCGAGAAUCAAUGCAGCUUGGUAUGUACAGUGAUCCCAGGAACCUUGACAUUUGAAAGGUCGAUGAUGCAGCAAGUUCCAAACAACCAUAUUAAUUAAAGUAAUUCAGCUUAGUUGACCAGAAAGUGUUGUCAUCAAAACUGGUUUUGCCAAACGUGACACUCACCAAAGAAACAUUAGCCAUAUGUAAAUAUAUUGUUACGCCACUAUUUUUAAUCCCGCAUUUUUAUUUAAUUCUCUUUAGCACAAGAACCAUUUUACCAAUAUGUAUUUUAUAUUUAUGUUAUUAUGUAUGUAUUUUUGUCCACACAAAAUAGA